CUGAGGCUGGCUUAAGCUCUAUGGUAGAUAGAGAGAUUCCUGAGCAUGGCAGACUUUCACUGCAAGCAAACCGUACAGGUUCCCUUGUGUGAAUUCCGUCAGUAUUGGGGCUGUCCCCGGGGGAUGAAGCUGUGAAACCGGACACUUGUACACCAGAGCAGUCAUCAAACUUGAGAUGCGUCUGAGGGCUAUUCUGUAUGGUUAUCCCAGUGAUGGUCACGCCAUUACUCCCAUAGAAUCUCAAAGCCUACAUGCCAAAUCUGUCCCCAAGAAGGAAAUGGGUCCAACGAGGAAAGUAGACCCAGUUGGAGCUACCAGGGUCGAUGCUGCCACCUUACAAGCUGCUUCCCAAGCUGCUUCAAAAGCCUGCAAUUUUAAUGGAUCUACCGUGCCUAGCAGCUUCACAGAUCCCGACACUCAAAGAUAACAGGGAGAAUGAGAUGAGCACAUUCCACGCAAGGCAUUUUAAGUUUGAGUGGCUGGGGAACAAGCGAGCACGUCUUUACGUGCAGUCAACUCAUGCAAUGAACCGGAAUUUAUCGGUUCUGUUUGCCAUCACCCGGUUUACACCUGUUUGCUUUGCUGUUUGUCAUAACCAAACUCCGAUGUAACACUUAACCAAUAUUGUGUUCAUCUGAAGCUGGAAGAGAGAAGGAAUGCGAAGAUUUUGAAGCGUGCAAGUUGCCAUGCAAUUACCGGUACGCCACCUCAUCAUAAUAUCAUUCUCCCAUGACUUUUGUUUUGUAUGCCCUAAUUAAAAGAUAAUCUAAUUUAUUUUCUGUUUUCCAAGUCCUUAAAUUUUGUUAUGUCACCCCCGGGGCCCAGCCCUUAAAUUAAGCACCGUAACAUACGGUGAUAUAUGGUAUGGUAUUCAUUGGAUCUUGCA
Tarenaya hassleriana is the source of this 886-nucleotide long non-coding RNA. RefSeq lists it as uncharacterized. The transcript has 6 exons. The record is from RefSeq and is a predicted model, not a curated record. Lineage: Eukaryota; Viridiplantae; Streptophyta; Magnoliopsida; Brassicales; Cleomaceae.